Molecule: ribosomal RNA, 245 nt
Filed under: Pomatoschistus sp. WJC-2002
Lineage: Eukaryota; Metazoa; Chordata; Actinopteri; Gobiiformes; Gobiidae
Description: partial 28S ribosomal RNA
Source: RNAcentral
CAGAAUCCCGCCUAGACGUAACGAUACCGUAGCGCCGCGGAUCUUCGAGUGGUCCAGGAUAGCCGGCCCGCGUGGGUCGGUGGGCAGAGCCGUUCGUGACGGGGCCGGGGCGCGGCCAACAAGGGUCGCCCCUCUCCCAUCUCGCAACUCAUGUUUGUGGAGAACCUGGUGCUAAAUCACUUGCAGACGACCUGAUUCUGGGUCAGGGUUUCGUACGUAGCAGAGCAGCUCCUUCGNUGCGAUCU